Non-coding RNA from Paramuricea clavata, 517 nucleotides. The record is from the annotation of a GenBank genome assembly. Lineage: Eukaryota; Metazoa; Cnidaria; Anthozoa; Malacalcyonacea; Plexauridae.
CCCGAAUAUACGGCCGGUGGACCACUACAUUAUGCAACAUUGACAUUGUCUUUUAAUAUAGCAGAGAAUGAUAUUUAAAAGCAUUCACUUGAUUGUCAUUGUCUUUAUAGCUUACUAUGUUAUUCAAUGCGUGUUAUUAAAACAUGUGCAUUUUCUUGUUUAUGACUGACUUGUUCAAAUAUAUUACUAACACAAAAGAUUGUCCAUGUAUACCCCUCCCCCCAUAUAUAAGCCCCAGCUCUUGGCCUUGUAUAAGCCCACCAAAAACCAGUUACAAAAGAAUAUAAGCCCAGGGCUUAUAGUCGGAGGUUUACAGUAUGACAAUAACAUGCAGAAGGCACUAGCUAUAGGGCAACUGAAUAAACAUACAUUGUUUGCAUGCCUUUAUUGUUUAAUAUUAUACACCACUUUCAGCUAUAAUAUACAGAUGUAACAUUUGUCUGGGGGCUGGCUUUGGAAGUGGAAGCCCAUGGACAAGGCCGUAGCUAGCAUGUAUAGUUGGGGAGGGGGGGGGGGG